RNAcentral lists this ribosomal RNA (366 nucleotides) under uncultured Nocardioides sp. Its description in RNAcentral is "bacterial SSU rRNA". It matches the Rfam family "Bacterial small subunit ribosomal RNA", at positions 505 to 871 of the family's 1533-position model. Lineage: Bacteria; Bacillati; Actinomycetota; Actinomycetes; Propionibacteriales; Nocardioidaceae. The record is from RNAcentral.
GUGCCAGCAGCUGCGGUAAUACGUAGGGUGCGAGCGUUGUCCGGAAUUAUUGGGCGUAAAGGGCUCGUAGGCGGUUUGUCGCGUCGGGAGUGAAAACACCGAGCUUAACUCGGUGCUUGCUUUCGAUACGGGCAGACUAGAGGCAUGCAGGGGAGAACGGAAUUCCUGGUGUAGCGGUGAAAUGCGCAGAUAUCAGGAGGAACACCGGUGGCGAAGGCGGUUCUCUGGGCAUGUCCUGACGCUGAGGAGCGAAAGUGUGGGAGCGACAGGAUUAGAUACCCUGGUAGUCCACACCGUAAACGUUGGGCGCUAGGUGUGGGAUCCAUUCCACGGGUUCCGUGCCGCAGCUACGCAUUAAGCGCCCCG